Molecule: non-coding RNA, 842 nt
Organism: Cinara cedri
Lineage: Eukaryota; Metazoa; Arthropoda; Insecta; Hemiptera; Aphididae
Source: the annotation of a GenBank genome assembly
GGUAAACGAAUUAUUGUAGUUACACCUACGUACUAUGUACUACCUUGAUCAGCGCCGUCAUGCGUGGACGCCGGAACUACAACCACGUACCGUUUAUAGGUCUAUGCUUUAACACGAUUAAAUCUUUAAUCACGUUUUAUAUUUCAUGUUUUUAUUAUUUCGACACCAGGAGCGCUAAUGUUCUAUUUUUUACAGCUGUUUCAGAGUAUCAUUUAAUAAGUCACUACGGAAUAAUCAUAAGUCGUUGUGGAGCCUGUAUAUCUUGAAUCGUGGGUAACAAUCAAACAAUUAUGCAUGCGAGUGAUAGUAUAUAAAAACAAUAUCAUAACGAAAUUCUCUAGUGCGCGUCUAUACAACUAUGCUAAUCUCGAAAACUAUACGGAACGGAAACAGAUGCGGUUUUCAUUGGUGUACGAUCUGCAAUCUCGAGGAAAAUUGAUGAUUAUAAUUGCACGCUCACUGAUCAGUCCGAACAAAAUUAUUACCCUAUCACGUAAGAGCACAUAACAGUUCUCUUAGAACUAAUAACAAAAAAAAAAUCAGAUCAGAUUUACCAACACUUAGCCAGAUUAACCCAUUGACUUAUAUUUCUAGAUAGAACAGUGAGCAUGAAAACGCGCUCCGGUGGGUGGAGUUUUAUUUUAAAGGCAAAAACACGUGAAAUAAUAAACAAAGUGCUUUAAUUGGCUGUCUUCGGAGAGCAAAUUUGCUCUCUCUCACACUAGAUGAUGGAUUUAUAUCGGUCCAUCUCUCUUGAACCGUUCGGAUUGACCACGCCUCCCAGUCGUCGGAGUAGAAUGUCCCGUCUAGAUGUAAAAGUCUAUGCUUAUACCUAAAAUACC